This 2045-nucleotide ribosomal RNA is filed under the name Salmonella enterica subsp. enterica serovar Ohio. RNAcentral describes it as "partial 23S ribosomal RNA". It matches the Rfam family "Bacterial large subunit ribosomal RNA", at positions 249 to 2215 of the family's 2925-position model. Lineage: Bacteria; Pseudomonadati; Pseudomonadota; Gammaproteobacteria; Enterobacterales; Enterobacteriaceae. The record is from RNAcentral.
GCGAGCGAACGGGGAGGAGCCCAGAGCCUGAAUCAGCAUGUGUGUUAGUGGAAGCGUCUGGAAAGGCGCGCGAUACAGGGUGACAGCCCCGUACACAAAAGCGCAUGUGCUGUGAGCUCGAUGAGUAGGGCGGGACACGUGGUAUCCUGUCUGAAUAUGGGGGGACCAUCCUCCAAGGCUAAAUACUCCUGACUGACCGAUAGUGAACCAGUACCGUGAGGGAAAGGCGAAAAGAACCCCGGCGAGGGGAGUGAAAAAGAACCUGAAACCGUGUACGUACAAGCAGUGGGAGCCCCACCACUAAGCCAGUGGUGAACUCCACAUACGCAUCCUUUGCUGAGGAUACGGUUAACGGAGCGAAAGCGACGUUCAACCGCAAAAGAAGCAGAGGGGGCUUAGUGGUGGGGUGACUGCGUACCUUUUGUAUAAUGGGUCAGCGACUUAUAUUCUGUAGCAAGGUUAACCGAAUAGGGGAGCCGUAGGGAAACCGAGUCUUAACCGGGCGUUAAGUUGCAGGGUAUAGACCCGAAACCCGGUGAUCUAGCCAUGGGCAGGUUGAAGGUUGGGUAACACUAACUGGAGGACCGAACCGACUAAUGUUGAAAAAUUAGCGGAUGACCUGUGGCUGGGGGUGAAAGGCCAAUCAAACCGGGAGAUAGCUGGUUCUCCCCGAAAGCUAUUUAGGUAGCGCCUCGUGAAUUCAUCUCCGGGGGUAGAGCACUGUUUCGGCUAGGGGGCCAUCCCGGCUUACCAACCCGAUGCAAACUGCGAAUACCGGAGAAUGUUAUCACGGGAGACACACGGCGGGUGCUAACGUCCGUCGUGAAGAGGGAAACAACCCAGACCGCCAGCUAAGGUCCCAAAGUCAUGGUUAAGUGGGAAACGAUGUGGGAAGGCCCAGACAGCCAGGAUGUUGGCUUAGAAGCAGCCAUCAUUUAAAGAAAGCGUAAUAGCUCACUGGUCGAGUCGGCCUGCGCGGAAGAUGUAACGGGGCUAAACCAUGCACCGAAGCUGCGGCAGCGACGCUGAUGCGUUGUUGGGUAGGGGAGCGUUCUGUAAGCCUGCGAAGGUGGCCUGUGAGGGUUGCUGGAGGUAUCAGAAGUGCGAAUGCUGACAUAAGUAACGAUAAAGCGGGUGAAAAGCCCGCUCGCCGGAAGACCAAGGGUUCCUGUCCAACGUUAAUCGGGGCAGGGUGAGUCGACCCCUAAGGCGAGGCCGAAAGGCGUAGUCGAUGGGAAACGGGUUAAUAUUCCCGUACUUGGUGUUACUGCGAAGGGGGGACGGAGAAGGCUAUGUUGGCCGGGCGACGGUUGUCCCGGUUUAAGCGUGUAGGUGUGUGUUCCAGGUAAAUCCGGUUCACUUUAACACUGAGGCGUGAUGACGAGGCACUACGGUGCUGAAGCAACAAAUGCCCUGCUUCCAGGAAAAGCCUCUAAGCAUCAGGUAACAUCAAAUCGUACCCCAAACCGACACAGGUGGUCAGGUAGAGAAUACCAAGGCGCUUGAGAGAACUCGGGUGAAGGAACUAGGCAAAAUGGUGCCGUAACUUCGGGAGAAGGCACGCUGACACGUAGGUGAAGUGAUUUACUCAUGGAGCUGAAGUCAGUCGAAGAUACCAGCUGGCUGCAACUGUUUAUUAAAAACACAGCACUGUGCAAACACGAAAGUGGACGUAUACGGUGUGACGCCUGCCCGGUGCCGGAAGGUUAAUUGAUGGGGUCAGCGCAAGCGAAGCUCCUGAUCGAAGCCCCGGUAAACGGCGGCCGUAACUAUAACGGUCCUAAGGUAGCGAAAUUCCUUGUCGGGUAAGUUCCGACCUGCACGAAUGGCGUAAUGAUGGCCAGGCUGUCUCCACCCGAGACUCAGUGAAAUUGAACUCGCUGUGAAGAUGCAGUGUACCCGCGGCAAGACGGAAAGACCCCGUGAACCUUUACUAUAGCUUGACACUGAACAUUGAGCCUUGAUGUGUAGGAUAGGUGGGAGGCUUUGAAGUGUGGACGCCAGUCUGCAUGGAGCCGACCUUGAAAUACCACCCUUUAAUGUUU